RNAcentral lists this ribosomal RNA (378 nucleotides) under uncultured eukaryote. RNAcentral describes it as "partial 18S ribosomal RNA". It matches the Rfam family "Eukaryotic small subunit ribosomal RNA", at positions 592 to 976 of the family's 1831-position model. The record is from RNAcentral.
CAAUAGCGUAUAUUUAAGUUGUUGCAGUUAAAAAGCUCGUAGUUGGAUUUCGGGUGGGACGCAGCGGUCUCGCAUUGCGUUUGUACUGCUGCAGCCCUCCUUCUUGCCGGGGGCGGCCUCUCGGACUUCACUGUCUGGGGGUCAGAAUCGGCGAUGUUACUUUGAGUAAAUUAGAGUGUUCAAAGCAAGCUUACGCUCUGAAUAUAAUAGCAUGGGAUAACACGACAGGACUCUGGCCUAUCGUGUUGGUCUAUAGGACCAGAGUAAUGAUUAAGAGGGACAGUCGGGGGCAUUCGUAUUCCGUUGUCAGAGGUGAAAUUCUUGGAUUUACGGAAGACGAACAUCUGCGAAAGCAUUUGCCAAGGAUGUUUUCAUUUA